This 411-nucleotide ribosomal RNA is filed under the name uncultured Comamonadaceae bacterium. Its description in RNAcentral is "bacterial SSU rRNA". It matches the Rfam family "Bacterial small subunit ribosomal RNA", at positions 30 to 441 of the family's 1533-position model. Lineage: Bacteria; Pseudomonadati; Pseudomonadota; Betaproteobacteria; Burkholderiales; Comamonadaceae. The record is from RNAcentral.
AUUGAACGCUGGCGGCAUGCCUUACACAUGCAAGUCGAACGGUAACAGGUCUUCGGAUGCUGACGAGUGGCGAACGGGUGAGUAAUACAUCGGAACGUGCCCGAUCGUGGGGGAUAACGCAGCGAAAGCUGUGCUAAUACCGCAUACGAUCUACGGAUGAAAGCGGGGGACUCGCAAGGGCCUCGCGCGGACGGAGCGGCCGAUGGCAGAUUAGGUAGUUGGUGGGAUAAAAGCUUACCAAGCCGACGAUCUGUAGCUGGUCUGAGAGGACGACCAGCCACACUGGGACUGAGACACGGCCCAGACUCCUACGGGAGGCAGCAGUGGGGAAUUUUGGACAAUGGGCGCAAGCCUGAUCCAGCCAUGCCGCGUGCAGGAUGAAGGCCUUCGGGUUGUAAACUGCUUUUGUAC